UGCUGGAUAGCUCACUCGGUAAAGCAUCAAGUUGCGAAGCAGAAAUUGACUAUCACGUCGCAGGUUCGAUCCCUGCUUCGUAC
Molecule: non-coding RNA, 83 nt
Organism: Gymnothorax javanicus (giant moray)
Lineage: Eukaryota; Metazoa; Chordata; Actinopteri; Anguilliformes; Muraenidae
Source: the annotation of a GenBank genome assembly